Molecule: long non-coding RNA, 1843 nt
Organism: Leopardus geoffroyi (Geoffroy's cat)
Lineage: Eukaryota; Metazoa; Chordata; Mammalia; Carnivora; Felidae
Exons: 2
Source: RefSeq, a predicted model, not a curated record
AGUUCCCAGCCUCCCCCGGCUGCACGGACAGCCCAGUGGAGGCGGGCAGCGGGCCCGGACGCUUUCGCAGACCCCAGGAUAAAAUGCUACCUGAAUGAAAUCACGUGGGUCGGCACGAAAUUGUCAGAAGUGAUUCGAAAAGCUGUGUGUUGAUUACUGGGGAGAAGGUCUCAUGCCUUAGCUGCUGUGCAACGACAUUGCACACGGGGAGAGUGGAGACAGCGGGUAAGACCAGAAGCAGACGUGGGUCUCUGAGCUCCUGUAUCCUGAGUGAAUCCCGCUGUGUGUGACAGAAUGCUCAGCCCACCCCAGGCCACAGCACACUGAUGCCAGCCCUCACCCCAGCAAGCAGAGACAAAGCCAGACAGUUCCAAGCCUCGGAGUCACCGGGUGACCGGGUCCCCAGAGCCCCGGCCUCCUCUGGGGCCAGCCUCUGCCCCACGGACACCUCUCUGCCCUCUCCCAGGCUCUGCCCAGAGCCCAGAUGCCCGGCAGCCUGGGACACAUAGCAGCUGGGACACGGCCUCGGGUGUCCCCGGCUCCUGUUCACCCUGGUCAUCGUCACCUGCUCCCUGACCACACUGCCACUUGGUCGCAGUAUCUGCCCAGGCAGGCUGGGCGGUGCAGGGGCCAGUGAGUGAAGAAGUCAGCAGUGCCUGUGCCCCGAGGGACCCGAGCGGGAGCCUCCGUGGACAUUCUGGGCCCUUACAGUCACAGGGUGAGAGUCCCAGCCCCCCUCCAGGAGGACACACCUGUGGGAGAUUCCCGCCCUCAGGUUGGGGGCCCUGCUCUGUGUGUCACCACCAAACCCCACACUGUGGGGGACAGUCUGCAGGACGCUGGGAUCAGAGCUUUGAGAAUCGGUCCCUACAAGCUCAGAAAAGCAGAAAUGACGUGGGUUCGGACUUGUCUGCUGAGCCACCUGCAGCCCCCACUUAACUCCUGUGGUCCUGGGUUUUCUGAUCUGUAAAAUGGGUUUGUACCUCACGAUUCACUGCACAGGAUCAUUUGGCACUGAGCAAAAAGGACUUACUUGUAACAAGAGGAAUGUUUAAGAACACAUAUGAAUAUAAAUCCCCAGCUGGCAGAGGGGAUCGGGACAUAACAGGUACACGUGCGUGCGGGGGUUAACAGCAGACGUAAUGUCCUCAGGAUACCUCGACCCCGACCCCGUCCACAGAUACAGCUUCUGGGAAGGCGGGUGGGGAUCAGUGGGAACAGGGGCUCCAAGCUUAGAGCAAGGAGGCGGUGCCGGGGGGCUGCGUGGGCACAGGGACCGAGAGCCCACGGGCACGGGGACCGAGACGGAAUCCGGUGAGGAGGGACCAUCUGCACGGACCCAGCGGCCUCCAGCCGGCGAGGAGGAGACAAGCCCUGGGAGGGCAGAGAUACCUACAAGGCCUCCCGUGGCCUCAGCAAAGCACAAGAGGCCAGGAGCGUGGUACCCGAGGCGCGUGGCGGCAGAAGGCCCAGGCGGGAACCGUGCCCACCGCAGACAUGCCCUGCUGGGUACUGUCAGGCCAGCCCAGCAGCAUCGGGGGCAGGAGACGGGAGGGGGACAGGCGUCUGGAAGACCAAGUGGUUACCCCGGACGGACUCUCUCUGCUAGUGGACCAGACAAAGUUCUACACUGGCCUCGGUGAGCGUCACUCCCCAGCCCCUGGGCAGGGCUUCUGGGGGGCCAGGGAGCCUCGGGCCUCAGACCCAGUGACCCCAGCGGAGCUGAGCAGCAUCUCUGCCCGUGAGGGACGGAUAGAAUAAUGUUUCUAAAUGCAUAACAUGAAAAACAGGACAUCAUAAACUGUAUCGAAACCGUUAUUAAAAUGUUUUUUCAAUUAUGACA